CAAUUUCCUUCUCUCACUAUCUCCUCUGUAGUUUCUACCACCUUGAAGAUAGAAACAGAAAAAUUGAAUAAACUGGAAAAUGUCAAAGAAGAACUUCAGAGAAACAUUUCCCUCCAACUGAUAGCUAACAUGAGGCACAAAUGUAAACCUUGCCCAAACAAUUGGAUGUGGUACACAAACAACUGUUAUUUCUUAUCUGA
This 200-nucleotide long non-coding RNA is filed under the name Chinchilla lanigera (long-tailed chinchilla). RNAcentral's name for it is "lncRNA (ENSCLAG00000028313.1)". The record is from RNAcentral. Lineage: Eukaryota; Metazoa; Chordata; Mammalia; Rodentia; Chinchillidae.